RNAcentral lists this ribosomal RNA (460 nucleotides) under uncultured bacterium. RNAcentral's name for it is "partial 16S ribosomal RNA". It matches the Rfam family "Bacterial small subunit ribosomal RNA", at positions 338 to 795 of the family's 1533-position model. The record is from RNAcentral.
CCUACGGGAGGCAGCAGUGAGGAAUAUUGGUCAAUGGACGAGAGUCUGAACCAGCCAAGUAGCGUGAAGGAUGACUGCCCUAUGGGUUGUAAACUUCUUUUAUCUGGGAGUAAAAUGUUCCACGUUUGGGCUUUUAUAUGUACCAUAUGAAUAAGGAUCGGCUAAAUCCGUGCAAGAAGCCGCGGUAAUACGGAGGAUCCGAGCGUUAUCCGGAUUUAUUGGGUUUAAAGGGAGCGUAGGUGGAUUGUUAAGUAAGUUGUGAAAGUUUGCGGCUUAACCGUAAAAUUGCAGUUGACACUGGCAGUCUUGAGUACAGUAGAGGUGGGCGGAAUGCGUGGUGUAGCGGUGAAAUGCUUAGAUAUCACGAAGAACCCCGAUUGCGAAGGCAGUUCACUGGACUGCAACUGACACUGAGGCUCGAAAGUGUGGGUAUCAAACAGGAUUAGAUACCCUUGUAGUC